UGGAUGAAGGCGCUCGUGGAUAACGUUGGGAAUAAAGGGAGCUUGAUUAGGCCUAGAGAAGCUAGGCGAGAACACCCAUAUCGCUAUUAAAAGUAAUACUAUUAUUUGCAUUUUUCAUUUCAUUAAAAAUGGACAGUACUCUCGCAGCUAUUCUUAAUUAGAUUCCUACUACCUUGAAUGGGGCAUUCUGGUUGCUGUUGUGUGCCUAGGCUAUCAGAAAGCCUUUGAGGUUCUGCAUAAAAGCCCUUCAGUAACCAAUAAGAUGCCUAAGCGGAAUGUAUGACAACUGUGUGCCGAUGUGCCCACAUUGCUAGAGUGGCGAGUAGUAACCCUAAUUACUAUGUAAAUAUACAGAUAGCUUAGAAGAUAGUGAAAGUGAGUCAAGUGGUGUUCAAAUGUGUGAUGAUGAAGAGGCAAUGAGACA
Limulus polyphemus (Atlantic horseshoe crab) is the source of this 424-nucleotide long non-coding RNA. RefSeq lists it as uncharacterized. The record is from RefSeq and is a predicted model, not a curated record. The transcript is spliced from 3 exons. NCBI's taxonomy places the organism in Eukaryota, Metazoa, Arthropoda, Merostomata, Xiphosura, Limulidae.